RNAcentral lists this ribosomal RNA (497 nucleotides) under uncultured bacterium. RNAcentral's name for it is "partial 16S ribosomal RNA". It matches the Rfam family "Bacterial small subunit ribosomal RNA", at positions 28 to 507 of the family's 1533-position model. The record is from RNAcentral.
GAUGAACGCUGGCGGCGUGCCUAAUACAUGCAAGUCGAGCGAACAGACGAGGAGCUUGCUCCUCUGACGUUAGCGGCGGACGGGUGAGUAACACGUGGAUAACCUACCUAUAAGACUGGGAUAACUUCGGGAAACCGGAGCUAAUACCGGAUAAUAUAUUGAACCGCAUGGUUCAAUAGUGAAAGACGGUUUUGCUGUCACUUAUAGAUGGAUCCGCGCCGCAUUAGCUAGUUGGUAAGGUAACGGCUUACCAAGGCAACGAUGCGUAGCCGACCUGAGAGGGUGAUCGGCCACACUGGAACUGAGACACGGUCCAGACUCCUACGGGAGGCAGCAGUAGGGAAUCUUCCGCAAUGGGCGAAAGCCUGACGGAGCAACGCCGCGUGAGUGAUGAGGGUCUUCGGAUCGUAAAACUCUGUUAUUAGGGAAGAACAAAUGUGUAAGUAGCUAUGCACGUCUUGACGGUACCUAAUCAGAAAGCCACGGCUAACUACGUG